GGCUCAGGACGAACGCUGGCGGCGUGCUUUAGACAUGCAAGUCGAACGGAGUAGCAAUACUCAGUGGCAUACGGCGGAGUAAUACAUAAACAACGUGCCCUGAAGACUGGGAUAGCCAGCCGAAAGGCUGAGUAAUACCAGAUGUGGCCCCUUGGAGGCAUCUCCGAGGGAUUAAAUGGUUUUUCGCUUCAGGAGUGGUUUAUGGCCUAUCAGGUAGUUGGCGGGGUAACGGCCCACCAAGCCUACGACGGGUAGCGGGUCUGAGAGGAUGAUCCGCCCGAGUGGGACUGAGACACGGCCCACACACCUACGGGUGGCAGCAGUUUGGAAUAUUGCACAAUGGGGGAAACCCUGAUGCAGCGACGCCGCGUGGAGGAUGAAGGAUCUAGGUCUGUAAACUCCUUUUAUCGGGAAAGACUUAGGACGGUACCCGAUGAAUAAGCACCGGCUAACUACGUGCCAGCAGCCGCGGUAAGACGUAGGGUGCAAGCGUUGUCCGGAUUUACUGGGCGUAAAGGACGCGUAGGCGGUCCACUAAGUGUGAAGUGAAAUCUCCAGAGCUUAACUCGGAAACUGCUUCGCAUACUGGCGGACUAGAGGGAUGCAGAGGUAGCUAGAAUUCCUGGUGUAGCGGUGAAAUGCGUUGAUAUCAGGAGGAAUACCCAUGGCGAAGGCAGGCUACUGGGCAUCAUCUGACGCUGAGGCGUGAAAGCGUGGGUAGCAAACAGGAUUAGAUACCCUGGUAGUCCACGCCCUAAACGAUGGAUACUAGACGUAAGAGGUAUCGACCCCUCUUGUGUCGCAGCUAACGCACUAAGUAUCCCGCCUGGGGACUACGGCCGCAAGGUUGAAACUCA
This 857-nucleotide ribosomal RNA is filed under the name uncultured bacterium. Its description in RNAcentral is "bacterial SSU rRNA". It matches the Rfam family "Bacterial small subunit ribosomal RNA", at positions 21 to 903 of the family's 1533-position model. The record is from RNAcentral.